Molecule: ribosomal RNA, 260 nt
Filed under: uncultured bacterium
Lineage: Bacteria
Description: partial small subunit ribosomal RNA
Rfam family: Bacterial small subunit ribosomal RNA
Source: RNAcentral
AGAGCGAACGCUGGCGGCGUGCUUAACACAUGCAAGUCGAGUGCGCGGUAUAGCAAUAUACUGGCGCACGGCGCACGGGUGAGUAACACGUGGGUAACCUGCCCUCCAAAAGGGGAUAACCCCGCGAAAGCGGGGCUAAUACCGUAUGACAUUCCGAUGGUUUCGGCUGUUGGAUCAAAGGCCGCAAGGCCGUUGGAGGAGGGGCCCGCGCCCGAUUAGCUUGUUGGCGAGGUAAUGGCUCACCAAGGCUUUGAUCGGUA